UCUCCAUGAAAUUGUACCGUGUGUUGUCAAUGGUCAAAUCAUUCUGCAAUACAAGCAUUUCCAGAAGGAGAGGCUUGGCCUCAACAUGAUGCCACAUUGGGGGAGGGUGGUUGUGGUUGGUGUGCCACCUCCCUACAUCCGGCCUGAAGAGCAGAGCCCCCUGCCGUGAGGGGAUGGAGCCUGGACUCGGGGACAGUGUGCUCUGGGGUGUGUGGCUGAUGGCGCAGAGGUUGGGGGCCGUGGACAGGGCUGGCGAGGUGUUUGCCGUCAGCACGUGGGUGGGAAGGCUGAGGCGAGGCUCUGGGGAUGAGAACCUGAAUCAGGCUGGAUUGUGGGGCAGCAGCCACGGCGGCACAGCCGAGACCUGUACGGACCUAGAGUGUGGACACUGUUGGGCUGGACUUUUCCAGAAUCUGGAGGUACAGAGUUUCUUGCCCCUGGGAACUGGCGUUCUAGUGGAGGGCAGCCCACAAACAACGGGGUAGGGUAGUGAGGGCAGGUGACAGGAGCUCAGGGGGGAGGGGAAGCCUGGGGUGGUCAGUGGGGGGCUGAUGUGUGGAACCUUCAGCGAAAUCCCUGCCCAG
Pipistrellus kuhlii (Kuhl's pipistrelle) is the source of this 584-nucleotide long non-coding RNA. RefSeq lists it as uncharacterized. Lineage: Eukaryota; Metazoa; Chordata; Mammalia; Chiroptera; Vespertilionidae. The record is from RefSeq and is a predicted model, not a curated record. The transcript has 2 exons.